RNAcentral lists this ribosomal RNA (478 nucleotides) under uncultured bacterium. RNAcentral's name for it is "partial 16S ribosomal RNA". It matches the Rfam family "Bacterial small subunit ribosomal RNA", at positions 28 to 523 of the family's 1533-position model. The record is from RNAcentral.
GACGAACGCUGGCGGCGUGCUUAACACAUGCAAGUCGAACGGUAAGGCCCUUCGGGGUACACGAGUGGCGAACGGGUGAGUAACACGUGGGUGAUCUGCCCUGCACUUCGGGAUAAGCCUGGGAAACUGGGUCUAAUACCGGAUAGGACCCUGGGAUGCAUGGCCUGGGGCGGAAAGCUUUUGCGGUGUGGGAUGGGCCCGCGGCCUAUCAGCUUGUUGGUGGGGUGAUGGCCUACCAAGGGGACGACGGGUAGCCGGCCUGAGAGGGUGACCGGCCACACUGGGACUGAGAUACGGCCCAGACUCCUACGGGAGGCAGCAGUGGGGAAUAUUGCACAAUGGGCGCAAGCCUGAUGCAGCGACGCCGCGUGAGGGAUGACGGCCUUCGGGUUGUAAACCUCUUUCAGCACCGACGAAGCGCAAGUGACGGUAGGUGCAGAAGAAGGACCGGCCAACUACGUGCCAGCCGCCGCCGUAA